RNAcentral lists this long non-coding RNA (879 nucleotides) under Zea mays. Its description in RNAcentral is "drought responsive lncRNA". Lineage: Eukaryota; Viridiplantae; Streptophyta; Magnoliopsida; Poales; Poaceae. The record is from RNAcentral.
CCCAGAUUUAGGGUCUUGUCGAGCGAAUGAACAGGACUAGGAGGAUGAUGGAAAGCAGAGGAACAAAGCUUGUCAAAUGAAGGCUGGCCCCCGUCUCAUGCCACUUGUUCUUGACAUCAGAAAGCACUACGGACAAGGUCGAUAUCAUGAUAAAUAGCAUGCUGUAUGUAUGGGAUCAUCAGCGAACGUUAUGGCUGAAUUUGUUUGCUGUUCCAAAUGAAACGGGCGAUGAAGAACACUGCACAGAUUGUACUUAUAUCAGUAUCCACACAAGGAUCGAUCCUCAGAUUCAGUUCCAUACAAGAACUGCUUAUCAAAAAGAUUCUUCGCACUAGCUGCGGGAAACACGGAUUGGAGGCCGCAUCAUUCUCUCCAUUCUCCAACAUGAGAAUUAAAGGAAGCAAAGAAAGGAGGAGGAACUAAAUGAAGCCCUGUCACUCAGUUUGAGCCAUCAUUCUCUUUCCGUAAGCAUCCAAUCAUAUGGGCCAUUAAAGCAGGCAAAGGAGAGAGAGAGAGAGAGAAGCUCAGUCAGGAUAUUCCAUGAAAAACGCAAAAGAAAGCACCUGCAAUCAUCACCAGCUUCAUCACUCAUCAGGCUGCUAAUGCUAAUGGCGGGGUAUAUUCCCCAUCCUGGCUCUCCCCUGUCGGGCGGGUUUCCUGUGAAUCUGUGAUUCAAUUUGCUGCUCACCAGGUGGUGCCAAACGCUUGUCUCCCUCCCUCUAAAAAAACACUUGUCUCACAGCUUCUAGAUACCGUGCAGAGUUGCGGACACGCACUUAGCUCGAUGUCAUAGACAGUAGUGCACUUGUAUAUUUGAUUCCCUUUGUUUUGUUGGUAACUAAUGAUUCAGAUGAAGCGCACGUAACCACAUCAUCACAC